AAUAUUUUCCAGGUAGCCUUCAAAUGCUAGCUAUUCUUCAGGUUCCGAAACCAUCUUCACCAAUUGAUAACAAUCCAUAGCAAACGUGACAUGACACGUAUAUGAUAUAUAAUAUGUAAAAAAUGUUAUAAACUUGGUAAAUGGUUUAAUUUUUUUAAUCUAUUGUAAGACAAUUAAGCCAAAAUCAUCAUUUUAGUGUUUUAUGGAAAUUUACUGUCAUCUAGUUGCAUCAAGAGAGACGUUAGGGUAUGAUUAACCCCGGUCUUUUAGCCGGGGUUCUUAAUUCAUGAUUUGAUAUUUUUUUUGUUUUUUUGUUUACACUUUUCGACUAAGAGACGGUUCUUAUAUCUCUUACUUAAGAGACGGUUCUUAGUUUUUCUUAGUUAAAAUCUAAAAAAAGAUAAAAACUGUCUCUUAACCGAAGCAAAUAACCCCAAUUAAGAUACUGAGCUUAAUCAUGGUCUUAGUAUUUAUGUCUACACAUCUAUAUUAUUAAAACUGAAGUACAUUUGAGAGUUGUUUGGGUAUAUGAAUAGUGGGAUUAAUAAAAACUGUUUUGUUUGGAUGCAUAGAUAUAGUUAAUACUUUAGAUUUUAAUUUAAAAAUUCGACAUGCUUUUUAAAAACGUGAACAAAACAAAAUAAAGCAUAUAUUUAAUACUUUAGAUUUUAACUUAAAAUAGGAUUAAUAAAAACGGCUAGAUUUUAAUAGAACGUAAGUUCCAAGUUAAAAAUAAGGCAUAUAUUUCAAAAAAAAAUAUACACAAAAUCUAAACAUAACAAAAACAUAAUUCCAACACAUUAACUCCACAUAUAUCGAUCUUACAAACUAACAUAUCUGCUGUCAAAAAAAAAAAAAAAACUAACUAACAUAUCUAAACGAGAAUCCUAAUUACUUGAUUCCCUCAUUUCACACCUUCUUUAUCCAAUUUUCAAAUAAUAAAUUAUCAAAACCAUUUUAAGUAUAACAACCGAAUAUUCUCUUUUUGUGCUAACAAAUUUAGUUACUUAGGCAACUAAUAUAUAUCUUCCUUGAUUGACUCCACAAAAAUCGUGCUAUUACAUUUUUAAAAAAAAUCUUUAGAUUACGUAUAACCCACUAUAUAUAUAAACCUUCCCCUCAUAUUCUUCAUACUCACCGUAGCAAAGAAAAAAAAAACUAAAAUGUCUAACAAGUAAAGUAGUUUGGUUUUGUCGAACAAGCAGAGUUUGGUUUUUCUUAACCAAGUCAAACCCUUCAAAGACACUUGGCGAGUACAUGUGAAGUGUCUUCACUCAUGUAAGAUAAACAACAACUCUGGUAAAUCUCUCGAAUGCGUUCUCGUGGAUGAACAAGGUGAGAAACUUCAUGCUUCUGCCAAAAGAAAUCAGAUGUAUCGUCUACAGCGCAACCUUCCUAUUGGUGAAUAGCGGUUUAUUGAGAACUUUACAGUUACGAGUGCUGGAGGUUAAUAUCGAAUAACUACCUCUCCAAAUUACAUUUAUUAUUUUAUCUUUGUUUUUCUAUUAUUAUUAUUUAUUUAUGUGAAAAAAAUUAUUUUCAAAACCUUAUUCUUACAUAUUUUAAAAGUAUUUAUCAUAUAUUAAGAACAAACAGUUUCUGAUGUAAUAUAUAUUGCCUUUUCAACAUUUUUUUCAUUAAUUAUAAAUAAGGUUCCCCUAUAAUUGUAUUAAUAUAGAUUAUAAUAAUAUAGAUUUUAAAUACUGUAUAACAAUUUGACAGAUCUUACACAUCCAGUUACGAAAUAUAUAAUACACAUGAUUUUUUAACCAUAUUGAAUUGAUAUAUUUGGCUUCGUGUAAUUUUCCAUAAACAAAUGAAUAUACAUAAAAUAGAAUAUGUAUUUUUCAUAAAGCUGUAAAUUUGUUAAAAUCUAAAUAAAAUAUUGUUUGUUCUCAACAUUUCAAGAUUAAGAUCUGCAAAUGUUUAUAUAUAUAUCAUAAAAAUAUAGACCCGCCCAGUCGGGCGGGUUAAGAUCUAGUGUCAAUUACGACUGAAGUCCUCAGUCCGAAUAUGUCCAAUCCUAAAAAUUACCGGACUUGAACUUAGUUUUAUAAGUCCAAAAAAAUUGAGUCUGUCGAGCUAAGUCUAUUUGGGCUUUAGAUUUUUCGGAUCGAAGUCAAUUUGGGCUAGGCCCGGCCCGAAAACCCAAAAUUUUAUACUUUAGUUUAAAUAUUAUUAUUUUUGCAAUCAAAACUAUUAUUAGUAUUGGCAUAUAAUUUAAAUAUUUUUAUCCAAACUCUAAUAAAGUAAAUAUAAAAGCUGUUAAUACACUUUAUUGUUUGAUCAUUAUAAAUGUCACAUUUUUAAUUUUGCAAAUGUACUUUUUAACGUUAAUUUAUUAUGGUAUUACAAUUAUGAGAAAAAUUACACUUUCUUCUUUUAUCUACAACAUAUUUUUUUAUUUCAAAAUACAAAGUAUGAAACGUUUGACCAUGUUUAUCAUAAAUUUUGUUCUUUUGUAUAUUUAGUUUUAAUUUAUAUUUGAUUAUUUAAAUCUUAUUAAAUUUGAUUUGUUUAUAAUAUGUUUUAAAGCAUACCAAAAAGUAAAAUAUUUUUAUUCGUAUAACAUUUUUGAUAAAGAAGAAAAAUUUAGACUCGGUUUAUAUUUUAAAACAAAAAAUGAAACUUUAUUUUUUGGUGAAAAUUCACAUAUAUUAAAACAAUAAAAACGACAAUGACAAUUUCUUUUUCGAAAUACCCAAAAAAAACCUGAAAAGCCCAAUAGGGACCGAGCCGAACUUUGAUUCUAGGUCCAAAUAUUUCCAGAUCGGAUCGGAUUCAAAUAUUUUUAUGGAGUUCAUGGAUUUGGGCUGGACCGGACCAGUUCGAAUUGACACCUGUAUUUAGGUCUGAGUGAGAUGAUAAAAGUAUAAAGUAAUAAAACCAAGGUAUGAGUAGAUGCCACAUUUAACUUUUUAGAACUGCGAAAAAAUUUAUCAUGACCAUCUAAAUUAUAGAAAUGAAAAAAAAAAUAUUAGAUCUCCUUUGAUUAAUAUAUACUAGUUUAUUAGUAAUUUAAAAGAAAUGCACAAGAGCUUCAUCUGCCACAAUCAAAAGGGUUUUCUUUUCUUCCUUUAAUUACAAUUUGAUUGGGAAAAACAACAAUAGAAAGAUAAAUCAAAUGAUCAAAAACUCAAAUGAAAAAAGAGUAAAAUAUGAAU
Brassica rapa (field mustard) is the source of this 3164-nucleotide long non-coding RNA. RefSeq lists it as uncharacterized. The record is from RefSeq and is a predicted model, not a curated record. Lineage: Eukaryota; Viridiplantae; Streptophyta; Magnoliopsida; Brassicales; Brassicaceae.